Canis lupus familiaris (dog) is the source of this 564-nucleotide long non-coding RNA. RefSeq lists it as uncharacterized. Lineage: Eukaryota; Metazoa; Chordata; Mammalia; Carnivora; Canidae. The record is from RefSeq and is a predicted model, not a curated record. The transcript has 3 exons.
CUCUGGGACCAUUACCUGAGGUGAAGGCAGACACCCAACAGACUGAGCCACCCAGGUGCCACAGAACCAACAGCUGACUCCUGACUUCCUGUGAAUAACACAGUGUUCAUGAAUCACUCCAUGUAAAAAACAUAUUCUAGACAAUCAAGCCUAUCAAAAUGCAUUUCUACAUGCAAAAGAAUCUGUUUAGGUGCCUCUUCCCCUGUACCAGAUGGCUGAGGAGGUGUUAACAUCAUGAUGCUCAGCUGUAACAGUCCUAAGGCUCUACAAAAUGAAAAAUGAGGAGUUGGAGAGGCAUCAAUGAAGGAUUAGUAAAUCAAAUUUUAAUUGCUGCUGAUAUAAACAACAGCAGGGGUUGGGAUAUGAUAUUGCUGCUCUGCAUGAAAACCAGCAGGGAUGCAAUAAAUCUUAGAGAUGCUCACAGCUAUCAAAGUUGUAUUUUAUAAAAAAGAAACGGUAAAGGAAAGUGGUUUGAGGUUCAUACUCACUUUCCCUCUCCUGUAUCUCAUGGACAAGAGUUGUUUAAAGGUCCUCUGUAACUUACCAAAAAGGCUUUUUCCAUUA